RNAcentral lists this ribosomal RNA (200 nucleotides) under uncultured bacterium. RNAcentral describes it as "partial 16S ribosomal RNA". It matches the Rfam family "Bacterial small subunit ribosomal RNA", at positions 8 to 221 of the family's 1533-position model. The record is from RNAcentral.
AGAGUUUGAUCCUGGCUCAGAAUCAACGCUGGCGGCGUGCCUAACACAUGCAAGUCGCACGAGAAAGCAGGCUUCGGUCUGUGAGUAAAGUGGCGUACGGGUGAGUAACACGUGACUAACCUACCUCGAGUGGGGAAUAACUCGUCGAAAGACGGGCUAAUACCGCAUAACACUUAUGAGUCAAAGCAGCAAUGCGCUUG